This 459-nucleotide ribosomal RNA is filed under the name uncultured bacterium. Its description in RNAcentral is "partial 16S ribosomal RNA". It matches the Rfam family "Bacterial small subunit ribosomal RNA", at positions 338 to 795 of the family's 1533-position model. The record is from RNAcentral.
CCUACGGGGGGCAGCAGUGAGGAAUAUUGGUCAAUGGCCGCAGGGCUGAACCAGCCAAGUCGCGUGAGGGAUGACGGUCCUAUGGAUUGUAAACCUCUUUUGUCAGGGAGCAAAGGGCGCCACGUGUGGCGCUUUGCGAGUACCUGAAGAAAAAGCAUCGGCUAACUCCGUGCCAGCAGCCGCGGUAAUACGGAGGAUGCGAGCGUUAUCCGGAUUUAUUGGGUUUAAAGGGUGCGCAGGCGGAAUGUCAAGUCAGCGGUAAAAUUUCGGGGCUCAACCCCGUCGUGCCGUUGAAACUGGCGUUCUUGAGUGAGCGAGAAGUAUGCGGAAUGCGUGGUGUAGCGGUGAAAUGCAUAGAUAUCACGCAGAACUCCGAUUGCGAAGGCAGCAUACCGGCGCUCAACUGACGCUCAUGCACGAAAGCGUGGGUAUCGAACAGGAUUAGAUACACCAGUAGUC